RNAcentral lists this non-coding RNA (31 nucleotides) under Rattus norvegicus (Norway rat). The record is from RNAcentral. Lineage: Eukaryota; Metazoa; Chordata; Mammalia; Rodentia; Muridae.
UAGGAUGUUAUACUGAGAGUGGGAAUUCUCU